GUGUCAGCAGCCGCGGUAAUACGGAGGGUGCAAGCGUUGUCCGGAAUUAUUGGGCGUAAAGCGCGCGCAGGCGGUUCCUUAAGUCUGAUGUGAAAGGCCACAGCUCAACUGUGGAGGGCCAUUGGAAACUGGGGAACUUGAGGACAGAAGAGGAGAGCGGAAUUCCACGUGUAGCGGUGAAAUGCGUAGAUAUGUGGAGGAACACCAGUGGCGAAGGCGGCUCUCUGGUCUGUAACUGACGCUGAGGCGCGAAAGCAUGGGUAGCGAACAGGAUUAGAUACCCCGGUAGUCC
This 292-nucleotide ribosomal RNA is filed under the name uncultured prokaryote. RNAcentral's name for it is "partial 16S ribosomal RNA". It matches the Rfam family "Bacterial small subunit ribosomal RNA", at positions 505 to 796 of the family's 1533-position model. The record is from RNAcentral.